CCCUCCUCCCCACCAAUCCCCCGUUCUCCUAAAGCCCCGCACCCCUCCUCCCCUGCUCUCGCACCCCGCGUCGGGCCGCCGCCGUUUCUCUCGGUCUGCUCGGAGGGACGGAGAGGGUGAGUCCAUGGUCAGAUGAGGGAGGAAGACAGAUGACGGGGUGGAUCGGGUACUCGAGGAGGACGCCAAGGCCCAGCAGUCUCCCCCAAAUCUCGUCGCCUCGGGCGUGGAGGCGAGCUUCCCGGCGACGUAGGCGUAGCGCCGCCAAGAGGUCAGCAACGAGGAGGUUCAGCAGUCCGUUUCGUCGUCCUCGUCCCUAGGCGUCUGUUGCUGGAGAGAAGGACGCCAAGGCCCAGCAGUUUGUGACGGCCCCACCGGACGACGGACCCGGCGGGACAGCGGGCUCUAGCUUUCUCUCCCUUCUUCUUCAUCUGGACAGAGAAUGACUCUGCUCAGAUGCAUAGUCAGGCAACUCACCGGAGAGAGCUGGGAUGGAGGCGACUCUGAGGAAGAUGAAGGCCAAGAGCGGUGCCGCUGCCGGGGAGAGGAGGCCGGUGCUGUCGAGGACAAUACUGCUCCUCUGCGCCUGCAGCUUCAUCCUUGGCGUGCUCUUCACCGACCGGUUCAGAGCGAUGCCGGAUUUAAAGAGCCAGGUGGUGGCGCAGCGCUGCGGUGACAGGAAGAGGAGCUGCAGAUCGUUUCUGAAGAUUUUGUUGCGAUCGACAGCAUCCAUUUUUUGGCUCCUGGUUUAUUUCAGAAAAAGAACAAACGAGAAACCAUCCGACGACAGGGACGUGAUGGGGAAGUGGCAAAGACUCAUGAGGCCAUACAAAGGGGAGUGUUUACAGCAUGGGAUUAGGACGACACACUAUGCCAUGUACACAAAAGGGAGGCAUGGAAGUGGACGUCGAGCAAACAGACGGGGUUCCUCAUCCCCAAGAAAACCCUAGCCUAGCGCUCUGGGAUGAUGUUGGUGAUCGCGGCGGCGCCGGCCUGGGCCCAAAGGCGCGCUUCGUCCUUGAUGGUGGAGCACAGGUGGGAGACAGAGGGUCGGUCCCCGUCGAAGGUGCAGCUGUUUCUAUGCUUCCAAAUCCACCAAGCGGUGAGGAUGAUGAGGGAGGAUAGGCCUUUACGCAUGGCAGCGGGCGCGAGAGCACAAGAAGAGGCCCAACGAUGCAACACCUGCUGGCUGGCUGCUCCUUCUCCCGCCAGAUAUUUAGACAAGUUGAUCGCCACGCUGCAGAUGGAGUUGGCAGCGCGGUUCAGCAAGCAUGAGCUGCUUGAGAGUGCGGAUGGCAAGGCAGGAAAGGAAAAAGGCUUUUAUGGUGAUCAGGAUCAAUACCGCGUUCAGUAGCAAGAAGCGCCGUGAUUCUGUCAGGGAGAGAUGGAUGCCUCAAGGUUCAUUACUUUGCAAUGUUGUCUCCCUUGUUUUGGCUGUUUUGGCCUAGCUGUUGCUUUCUGCAUUUCUUGUUCUUAGUUAGAUCGAUGCAGAGGGAUGUGUUUUUAAUCAACUAGGAUUAUGACGUGCAAAUAGCAAGGAAAUAACAGAGAAAUGUGCAAGUACGAAAUCAAGGGAUCAGAUAGGAUCAUCUAUCGUCCCAGCAAAUAGAAUCAACUAAAUGUGAUUUUUUAUCAUCAUAACAACUAGAAUAAUCAGGUAGGUUUAUUUAACAUCAUAGCUGCCUUGGGUCAUACAGUUUGUUUGUUGCCUGCAUACUUUCUUCUAAGAGUUGAGCUAUUUAGAUUGGGGUGGAUCAUUUAGUUGUCUGGCAUUUAUUUUUAUUUCACCACAUAUAUCUCAUCGUUGUUUAUCAGAUGAGAAACUCAAGAAACUGGAAGAGGAAAAGGGAGUCGUCAUUCGAUUUAUGAUUGGGCAUAGGUAAGGUUACUGGCACUAAGGUUCAAUAUAUAAUAACUUGUUUGCUGAAAAAAAAUCAUAAGAUGAGGUCCCGUAAAAGACAAAUCGUAACAUAGAACACAUAUAUUGUAAAUAUCUCCAUGGAAAGCUUACAUAUUUUAGACAAUAAAAGGAACCCGUAAAGCCUCAAUGUUAUAAACAGGUGCAGAUGGGGUUUCCCUAAUUCCCUAUCUUUAAACAGGACACCACUUGUCUAAUUGCUACAGAGUUAGAAAGUAUAAUUGGACAGUAAGUAGAUAAGGACAUAAAUCUGCUAUUCGUUGUGCAGCUAUGAGUCAACUGUGCAUGAACUGAAAAGGGAAGAUUGAACAAGUUCUGAGCUGCUAUCUGGAACCAUAAGUAUGCAAGUUUUACAAAAUAGUUUGGAUGAAAAAGCAAAACAAUACAAGGAGCCUGCGUAGAUGCACAUAUUUUUGAUGAAUAACACUCAUUUUAGUGUUAUAUCUCAGCUUGUAUGUCAGUAAGUGUGUAAGUUUAGUCUAAUACUCGCUUUUCUUUUUCCUCAGAUCAAAAGCCAAGGGGAUUUGUUGGGUGAUAGCUUGAUUCUAAGGCAUUAAUAGAUUUACAACACUUCCAAAAAUUUACUGGCAUUUUGUAUUAUAUUUAUUCAAGUCGCUGAUUGAUUCUUGACCAUCACUUGAUCAACUAUAUUCAUUUUCUAAUACAAAGCCACUUCGCUAAUUAUCUUAUGACUAUUGAAGGGUUUAAAAUGUGAGUAUGAUGUGCGUGGAGAGAUUGUCAUCCAUGCUCAGGUAUUUCAAGUGACCAACAAGUGUUAUUUCAGUAAUUUGAAAUCUCCUGUAUUCAGAGUUUAGUCAACUCUUAGUCAUGUUCUUUAAUAAUCAUUAGGUCUAAUAAAAGUUUAGAACGAUGCACUAUUUUUCUGAAUUUUGACUAGGCAAGUGCAUCUUUGGUUGCGCCGAUCGGAUCGGAUUCAAUGCGUACAUCGUAUUGAUGGACUGCUGACCGCUUCAUCUGGUGUUUCCUCUGUCGUGUGAGUUGCAUGUUGUUUUGAGAGCUUGAAGCAAGCAGAAAGCCGAUGGAGGGGCUUAGGGAUGAUGAAAGCAUUAGUGACGACAUCAGGCGAGAGAGUAUCGAGACUGCAAAUCGCUUUCCUGUUUCUGCAUUUCUUACUGUAUAUGUAACUUUGGCAGUAUUCAGAUCGUAUAGCCUACGGGGAGCAGUGGAAAACAUAAUUUGUUGAUGCUUAAAAUUUGGAGUGGUAUGUUUGAUACAUCUGCGCUGUUGACACGGUCUUCUUUAAUGAAUAACAAGGUAGUACAGUAGAAUUGUAACUUUAGAGCCCUGCAAA
Non-coding RNA from Aegilops tauschii subsp. strangulata, 3227 nucleotides. The record is from RefSeq and is a predicted model, not a curated record. NCBI's taxonomy places the organism in Eukaryota, Viridiplantae, Streptophyta, Magnoliopsida, Poales, Poaceae.